This 611-nucleotide ribosomal RNA is filed under the name uncultured Gammaproteobacteria bacterium. Its description in RNAcentral is "partial 16S ribosomal RNA". Lineage: Bacteria; Pseudomonadati; Pseudomonadota; Gammaproteobacteria. The record is from RNAcentral.
CAUCCAACGCGUUGGGAGCUCUCCCAUAUGGUCGACCUGCAGGCGGCCGCGAAUUCACUAGUGAUUCGUAUUACCGCGGCUGCUGGCACAGAGUUAGCCGGUGCUUAUUCUGUCGGUAACGUCAAAACAGCAAAGUAUUAAUUUACUGCCCUUCCUCCCAACUUAAAGUGCUUUACAAUCCGAAGACCUUCUUCACACACGCGGCAUGGCUGGAUCAGGCUUUCGCCCAUUGUCCAAUAUUCCCCACUGCUGCCUCCCGUAGGAGUCUGGACCGUGUCUCAGUUCCAGUGUGACUGAUCAUCCUCUCAGACCAGUUACGGAUCGUCGCCUUGGUGAGCCAUUACCCCACCAACUAGCUAAUCCGACCUAGGCUCAUCUGAUAGCGCAAGGCCCGAAGGUCCCCUGCUUUCUCCCGUAGGACGUAUGCGGUAUUAGCGUCCGUUUCCGAACGUUAUCCCCCACUACCAGGCAGAUUCCUAGGCAUUACUCACCCGUCCGCCGCUCUCAAGAGAAGCAAGCUUCUCUCUACCGCUCGACUUGCAUGUGUUAGGCCUGCCGCCAGCGUUCAAUCUGAGCCAUGAUCAAACUCUAAUCGAAUUCCCGCGGCCGCC